UGGGGAAUAUUGCACAAUGGGCGGAAGCCUGAUGCAGCGACGCCGCGUGGGGGAUGACGGCCUUCGGGUUGUAAACUCCUUUCACCAUCGACGAAGGUUUUCUGACGGUAGAUGGAGAAGAAGCACCGGCUAACUACGUGCCAGCAGCCGCGGUAA
RNAcentral lists this ribosomal RNA (156 nucleotides) under uncultured Corynebacterium sp. Its description in RNAcentral is "partial 16S ribosomal RNA". It matches the Rfam family "Bacterial small subunit ribosomal RNA", at positions 355 to 523 of the family's 1533-position model. Lineage: Bacteria; Bacillati; Actinomycetota; Actinomycetes; Mycobacteriales; Corynebacteriaceae. The record is from RNAcentral.